RNAcentral lists this ribosomal RNA (253 nucleotides) under uncultured bacterium. Its description in RNAcentral is "partial 16S ribosomal RNA". It matches the Rfam family "Bacterial small subunit ribosomal RNA", at positions 524 to 776 of the family's 1533-position model. The record is from RNAcentral.
UACGUAGGGUGCAAGCGUUGUCCGGAAUUAUUGGGCGUAAAGGGCGCGUAGGCGGCCUUCUAAGUCGAACGUGAAAUCCCCGGGCUCAACCCGGGAACUGCGUCCGAUACUGGAAGGCUUGAAUCCGGGAGAGGGAUGCGGAAUUCCAGGUGUAGCGGUGAAAUGCGUAGAUAUCUGGAGGAACACCGGUGGCGAAGGCGGGUCUCUGGGCCGAUACUGACGCUGAGGAGCGAAAGCGUGGGGAGCGAACAGG